AAAGCCCACCACUCUCCCCACGACCUCCUCCCUCAAUCUCUGGAUUCCCCCAAACCCGCGGCCGCAUUUCUCGUCAUAGUACGCCGGCGGCCCCGCUCUUCCUCCUCCCGGCCAAGCGAGCCGCGCGCCACCGGCCCCGCUCCUCUUCCCCAUAUCAGCCAUGCGCGUCGCCGCUCCCGCGCAUGCUUCCUCCUCCUGCCAUGCGCGUCGCCGCCCCGCGCCUCCAUGGCUCCAUCCUCCUCCUAGCACGCGCGCUGCCGUCCCCACGCAUCCUUCCUCCUCCUAGCAUGCGCGCCCCCGUCCCCGCGCCUCCCUCCUCCAAGCACGCCCCACCCCUUCCCCCUCCCGGCAUGCGCGCCGCCGCCCCGACCUUCCUCCCGCACUCACCACCGCUCGCCCCCAUCUCCUCCCUGCUUCCAUAGCCGCCUCGACCCCAUCUCCUCCUAGGUUCCUGCCGCCUCCCCGCCCCCAUCUUCCCCAGCUCCGGCCGCCGCGACGCACCUAUAUCCCCAAGCUCCUGCCGCCACAGCGCCCCAUCUCCCCUCGCUCCCACACCACCACGCCAUCUCCUCCCGAUGGGGCUCUGCCGCCGAAGCGAUCUGGCUGUUCACAGCCACCACCCCUGUCCGUUCACCUGUACAAGAUGACCAGGCCGAGGAGGCAACAAAGAAAGAGCUAAGCGAUCUAGUAGAGUUCAUUUAUUGAAGGUGUUCACCUUUUGUGUGAUUAUCAGUUCACGUUUGGUGUGAUUUUCUGUUCAGCAGGCUUACUAUUUCAUCGUCAGGAUGCAGCAAAAAAGCAAGAUUCACAAGUUCAUCUUCUGGAUGCUUUUCAGUACAUCUACUUCCCGCUGGAGCGCCCUGGCCGAUCACAGCCACCACAGCAGGCCGUUCAACACCACCUCCGCAGGCGGUUCAUCGCAAAAACAGCGACCUGAUUCCCGCUGGUUCUCACCAGCAACGCCCAUUCGAGCACAUCAUCGCUCUCCUGCUGCAGCGUGGCUCAGCUACUGCACUUGGUGGAGUACAUGAAUUGGACUGACGAGGAAGAUGCAUUCUGGGUAUAUCAAAGCCUGCUGGAGGAGUCACGGGGUCGAGGACCUCCUGCUUAAUAGUACAACUUCUUGUUUUGUGACCGGUUGCUCAAGGAGCUGAGUGCAGGCCGCAGUAAGUACAUGAGUACUAAUAUUAGGAUAUGUCUGGUCCCAGAAAAACAUUUGUCGGGUUUUUGGUGGCCAAGUAUUAUUGAUAUGGAGAUGAAUAACUAUGUGGAUGCGCUCCUAUUGUUUUUCUGGAAAAAACAAGAUGCCAUGUUUUACUUUAUGAGCUUUCCAAUUUGCAUACUUCAAAGUUGUUGCUUGCUCCCACCCGUGAAUUGCGCAAUUUCAAUGGGUGUCGUCGAGCAUGUUCGGAAGUAUGCCCUUCGUGCAAAAGUGUGAAGUUUUGUCAGUAUUUUGUAUAUUUCAUUUGACAAAGGCUUCAUGUGAUCUUAUGAAGCUUUAUAGAUGUACUGCCAUUACACUUUUAAGGCCAUACAGUUCAUUAUAUCAUACAUGUGUGGCAGUUCAAUAUGUAUUACAUGAUCAGUUCUUGGAAAAGAAGAACACAAUAGUUCGGUCGAAAACAAUGAUCAGUUCGAUAGUGCUCUCUCCUGCCUAUUUUGGUUGAUGUCCAUGAAUGGACAAAAAAUUGUAUGGAAAAUGUUCUAUUAUUAUUAGCAUAUAUGUAUGAGAAAUGUUCUAUUA
This is a non-coding RNA of Aegilops tauschii subsp. strangulata, 1744 nucleotides long. Lineage: Eukaryota; Viridiplantae; Streptophyta; Magnoliopsida; Poales; Poaceae. The record is from RefSeq and is a predicted model, not a curated record.